This 668-nucleotide ribosomal RNA is filed under the name uncultured bacterium. RNAcentral describes it as "bacterial SSU rRNA". It matches the Rfam family "Bacterial small subunit ribosomal RNA", at positions 57 to 712 of the family's 1533-position model. The record is from RNAcentral.
GCAGUGGUGCGACGAACCAGGGCUUGCCCUGGGGCCAAGCCGCGAACGGGUGAGUAACACGUGAGUAACCUGCCCCGAUGACCGGGACAACCCGAGGAUACUCGGGCUAAUACCGGAUGUGGCGCACAGGUCUAAGCCUGUGCGCUAAAGGAAGCUUCGGCCUCCGCAUUGGGAGGGGCUCGCGGCCCAUUAGCUUGUUGGUGGGGUAACGGCCUACCAAGGCAACGAUGGGUAGCUGGUCUGAGAGGACGAUCAGCCACACUGGGACUGAGACACGGCCCAGACUCCUACGGGAGGCAGCAGUGGGGAAUCUUGCGCAAUGCGCGAAAGCGUGACGCAGCAACGCCGCGUGGGGGAAGACGGCCUUCGGGUUGUAAACCCCUUUCAGGAGGGACGAAGGUUCACCGGUGAAUAGCCGUGUGGAUUGACGGUACCUCCAGAAGAAGCUCCGGCUAACUACGUGCCAGCAGCCGCGGUAAUACGAAGGGGGCUAGCGUUGCUCGGAAUUACUGGGCGUAAAGGGCGCGUAGGCGGAUAUCUAAGUUGGGGGUGAAAUCCCGGGGCUCAACCUCGGAAUUGCCUUCAAAACUGGAUAUCUUGAGUUCGGGAGAGGUGAGUGGAACUCCGAGUGUAGAGGUGAAAUUCGUAGAUAUUCGGAAGAACACCAG